CCAGCCUUAAAAUCACACCGGUUAAAAGUAGACGGGGAAGGCCAAAAAGGCAAAGAAACUUUACUUUCAACAAAAAAGCCAAGAAACGUCUGCAUGAACCAGAUACAGAGUUGAACGAUCUGCCUUCAUUCCUUGUCCCAUUACAAUGCCAAGUGAUGCCAACACCAGAUACAGGUUUUAGUGUUGGAGGGAUUACUCUCUAUGAUCUUGACCUGGACACCCUUAAACCAGGAAUGUGGCUUAAUGACAAUGUUAUACAUGCCUACCUUGGACUCGUGGCAGAAGAAUCUGUCAAGCCAGUUUACAUACUACAGUGCUUUAUUGAAGGGUUUUGGAGAAAAGGACAGUACACUGUGUGGCAGUACAAAAAUGUGCAGUUUGAGAUGUACCAGUGGAUAUUGCUGCCUGUGUGCAGGAAUUCACACUGGUUCCUUCUGGCAGCAAAUGUUGAGUUGCGCAAUGGACUCGCAGCCAAGUGUGACUAGGCAGA
This is a long non-coding RNA of Trichomycterus rosablanca, 490 nucleotides long. RefSeq lists it as uncharacterized. The transcript has 4 exons. Lineage: Eukaryota; Metazoa; Chordata; Actinopteri; Siluriformes; Trichomycteridae. The record is from RefSeq and is a predicted model, not a curated record.